CUCAAGUGGAGAAGAAACGGCGAGGCGCUCAUCAAACUCACUAGUACCCAAUGGGAUGGUGGAAGUUUGUUUGUUGGUCAGAGCAUGGAGUGCUGCAGGACGGAUCUCCUUGGAACGCAUGGAGGAAACCUGAAAAGCAUCGUCGGGUCAACAUUUGAAGAAGUUUGCUGCUAAUAUGAGAAGAGUUUGUUCACCCAUAGAUUCCAACAAACAUGAGCCCCAUUGGUCAUAAAAUCUCAAGCCCUGUGAGAAAACGAAGCAGUGCAGAACAUGCACUGUGUCUUACCACAGGAAUGCGUGCCUUUGCUCUUAAAAGACAUUCUCCCUCUGUCUCUGCAGCUCUAAAAAGCAGCAUUUGGGAUCCCAAGCCAAGCCUCCUGGGCUUCACUGGAGAACCAUUAAUGACUUCAGUGUGUGACUACUGGAAACAUGUUUCAGAGCAGCUCAAUAUACGGAACAAUGCAACGCCUGGAACCGGAAACCACGUGAGCCGGCUCUUCCCCUGCAGCCCUGGUCCUGAAGGGCCCCAGCCCAAACCCCAGCAAACCCAUGCAUCGUUCUGCAUGGCUGUGCCGUAGCGACGGAUCGACGCGUGCGCGUCAUCGCCAGGCGGCCUUUGUGUCAUUGGCAGCAGGGGGAAGUCGUGCAGACAGACAAAACCAAAAGGAAGAAAUGUGUGAAGCCGAGGAAUGUGACUUAACUGCUGCCUGCACCACAAGAGACAGAGUUAGGAACAUCUGAAGCAAA
This is a long non-coding RNA of Poecilia latipinna (sailfin molly), 747 nucleotides long. RefSeq lists it as uncharacterized. NCBI's taxonomy places the organism in Eukaryota, Metazoa, Chordata, Actinopteri, Cyprinodontiformes, Poeciliidae. The record is from RefSeq and is a predicted model, not a curated record. The transcript has 2 exons.